CAUCCCAGCCGUUCGUCGCCCGUCCUCGCGGAGAGAAGCCUGGCGAACAUGCAAGCUGUGCUCUCAUUGGCUGAAAGUGGUCACGUGGCUGCCUGAGCCCCACCGAGCGGUCUCCGUCUGCUGGAUAGACUAUACAUGGAGCAGGCUUCAAAGUCGCCAGAGAAAGCGGAGUGGGGGAGGGGGACGCGGCUAGACACGAACACGCCACCGGGCUGGGAUGGAAAUGACAGGAACAGUUGUAGCGGGGCGGCCACGGCGGCGAAGGCUUUGCCAAGCGGAUUAAUCAUAUAACAGCCUGCCCGGAUUACCCUUAAAGUUAUCUGGAAUUCAUCUAGAACAAGUAAAACCUGAUUUAAUAGGGCCAGGCUUACUCUGGAGUUACUUUGGCCAUUCAUUUGCAUUAUCCUGGCCCUGGGAAAAUCCAAAAUAAAAAACUAUGAAAUCCAUCUGAAAGAAAUGUAAAAUGAGACUACUCCUUGAUUAAUCUAAGCGCGAUACAGUAAAUUGACUUGUUGUACACGUCUAUACUAUAAACCUUUGUCACUGACCAUGUGACCAUGCAUUUAACCAUUAAUUAUUUGGAUUAUUGUUAAAGCUGAUCUUCUCUGGCUGUUUAGUGCCACAUGUAAAAAAUUUUACUUGUUGUAAAAUCCUUUAAGGAGCAGUAAUAUAGAUAAAUAAUGUUGUUUUUGUGGUCAACUACAACAGUCUAAUUCAAAGUCCCUGGAUGAUCCAAAGUCAGAAAAUACCACAUUAAUAAUCGCACAGAUAUAAGAAUUUAUUUACACAAUAUGUUUAAAUUGAGCAUAGGUUCUGAGACAAGUUGCUUUUGCAAAGAAAAACAAAUGUGGCUGAAAAUGUCUACAGGUCAGAUCGUACACCAAAGCCUGGACCUGGAGGAGGCCCUGUGAGAGAAGUUAAUCCUCCUGCAGGCUCACACGAGAAACGCCCACUCCUGUAGAAAAGGGGAAAAAUUAUAGGGUAACAUAAAGUCAUUGUACAUGUAAUGGGUCUCUGAGAUUUAAAUACCGGCAAUGACCGUUACAUGAGGGGUUAUUUGCAUGUACCUGGGCCCAGGCGGUGGGACCCUGCCGGCUUUAAGUUCAUCAAUAAUAUCCUCAAUAUCCUUUGGUGUUAGGUCCUCCUAGAAACAAGAAGGCAGGAGCAAUGAGAAAAAAGCAGCAGCAUGUGCUGUAUGUUAUUUACCAAUGGUCUUUUAUUGUGGGAGAGGCUAGAAAACCUGAAUCUGUUCCUCUUGCAACUGAGUAGGGUCAUUAUGAUUGUAGCUUAUUCUUGGGAAAAUAUAAACAUAGGUUUCACACUGCAAAUAUAAAUACUGACAUCUUUAAAUAAUAGGUUUUCAAAUUCCAAGAUACAUUGUUAGAGUGGUUGUUUAUCUAACACUUCAGAAUAAAUUUCCAUACGACUGUAUAGCUGCAAAUAUUUUGUUGCUUUCACAAACUAACUGCUUUGAAUUUCCCAAAUGUAAAGCAGUUAUCCCAAUUUUCUCAACAUUGGGUUGGUUUUUAACCCAAGUAAACCAGAAUAAUUCUGGAAUAAAUUUUGGUUCACUUGUCUGCACUAAUUAAAUAACUAUAUUUUCCUAUGCGUUAAUUUCAAGUAAUGUUUAGUUCCGUUAUGGUUUCUAAUUCAAGAAAGAGAUGCAUAGACCAUACCACAGAUGUAUUAGCUUCCAGUGUUUCAUUUCUGAAAUACAGCUGGAAAAUAUACACCCUGCAGGCAGACUUUGCCAGGGUUGAGCCUUACAGUAUUUGUUUAUUAGUUAGAAUGUGUGUGCAAGUCAAGUACUCACAUAAUAGUUGUCAUUGAUCUGGACCAUUGGAGCGUUCACACAGGCGCCGAGGCAUUCAACUUCUAUCAUGGUAAACAUUUUGUCGGGUGUUGUCUCUCCAACCUUGAUACCUGUAGAGAAAUAAAUGUGAACCAGUGCUCCCAUCAAACCUUACUGAGCAUGAGCAAAAGCUGUGCAAAGCUUGUAGGAUCAAGUUCUCAUUGCUGUCAACAAUACCUUAGCUUCUAAAUAAAGGUUGUUAAUACUUAAUAAAUGGGAUAUUUGUUGUUGAAUUGUAUUUAUUUGAAUUUUGCUUUUUCAUCGUAGAUUGAGUAGUAAUUGAAUAAACAUUUAAUAGGCAUUGAUGCAUAAAAUGUGGAAAUAUGAAAACCUUCAAUAUGCAAUUUACAAUUCAUUCUGAAUAUCAGUAGACAGUAGAACUUGUCUAAACUCAAGCAGCUGUGUUUGACAGUGCAUACUUGAUGCACUGUUUGACUUCUAACAAAAUGUAAAUGUAACUCGUUUAAUUGAGGAACAAACAAAUAUCAGUGUUCUCUAUUAAAGCCCACACAGACUGAAAUGGUGUUGAAUUUCAGAGUUGUAUGUCUAUCUCUGCCUGUUUACCACUAUAGCUUGCUCUUGUGCAAAUAUACAGUUAUUUGUGUUACUUAAACAUUUAUUUUUCAUAUUCUAAAUGUUCAUUUAAUUGUAUAUACUCAAUAAAAGAAAUCAUGUUUUCA
Long non-coding RNA from Betta splendens (Siamese fighting fish), 2532 nucleotides. RefSeq lists it as uncharacterized. The record is from RefSeq and is a predicted model, not a curated record. Lineage: Eukaryota; Metazoa; Chordata; Actinopteri; Anabantiformes; Osphronemidae. The transcript has 2 exons.